Molecule: ribosomal RNA, 446 nt
Filed under: uncultured bacterium
Lineage: Bacteria
Description: bacterial SSU rRNA
Rfam family: Bacterial small subunit ribosomal RNA
Source: RNAcentral
GCCAGACUCCUACGGGAGGCAGCAGUGGGGGAUAUUGCACAAUGGGGGAAACCCUGAUGCAGCGACGCCGCGUGAGUGAAGAAGUAUUUCGGUAUGUAAAGCUCUAUCAGCAGGGAAGAAAAAAGACGGUACCUGACUAAGAAGCCCCGGCUAACUACGUGCCAGCAGCCGCGGUAAUACGUAGGGGGCAAGCGUUAUCCGGAUUUACUGGGUGUAAAGGGAGCGUAGACGGCAUGGCAAGUCAGAUGUGAAAGCCCGGGGCUCAACCCCGGGACUGCAUUUGAAACUGUCAGGCUGGAGUGCAGGAGAGGUAAGUGGAAUUCCUAGUGUAGCGGUGAAAUGCGUAGAUAUUAGGAGGAACACCAGUGGCGAAGGCGGCUUACUGGACUGUAACUGACGUUGAGGCUCGAAAGCGUGGGGAGCAAACAGGAUUAGAUACCCGUGUA